AUGCUACCUCUUUUGUUAGGGGUUACCCUGGCUCACUGCUUGGCCAUUGAUGUGUCCCUCAUCUUCAGGUGGAAAGUUCUUGUGCCAAUAGCCUUCUCUGAACACUGGAGCUGGAUGAGAAGAUGGAGAUACUGUGACCUGGAGAGCACCCAAGAAAGCCCUUGGCUUUGUUUCCAUCCUAAAGCCUUAGAAGACGGGCUUCCUCAGAUGUGCUCCAGGCCUCCAUGGGCGUAAGAGGAGAGGACCGUGUGCCAGCAGAAGCUAGAGGGCCCUCCAUUACCUGCUGAUUGACAGAAGGAGGCCAUGUCCUGUCAGUGGCUGCAUCUCAAUAUUCAAUGGUCAUCUCCAGCGAGAGGCAUGAGUCUGCAGUCAGAAUGUUUCAAAGGCUGCUUUCUCCAGCAACACCCAUCAACCAAAUGAAGUUUCAAAUCCCGAUCCACUGCUGAUGUGAAGAAAGCAUGUUCACAAAAACCCAUGGAUCUUGCCUAUUUUAGCAGUUUUUUUUAAAAAGAUUUUUAUUUAUUUAUUAUGUAUACAAUAUUCUGCUUCCAUGUAUAUCUGCACACCAGAAGAGGGCACCAGAUCUCAUAACGGAUGUUUGUGAGCCACUGUGUGGUUGCUGGGAAUUGAACUCAGGACCUCUGGAAGAACAGCCGGUGCGUUUAACCUCUGAGCCAUCUCUCCAGCCCCCCCCCUCCCCCGGAUCUUGCCUAUUUUGCCUGUCAUUCUUGACACCUGGCAGAGAUGGAUGAUGCCCAACCCUAUCUUGCCUAUUUUGCCUGUCAUUCUUGACACCUGGCAGAGAUGGAUGAUCAAUAUUCACUCCAAGAUUGAUUUUGCUUCUGGAAUUUUCUUUUCUUGUUUAAGAGUGUUGCUGUUGUUGUUUAUUUGUUUCUUUGCAGUCCUGAGGCAACUCUGAUUGGCCAGAUGUUUGAAGACUCAAAGCAGUACUGAGCAAAAAUAUUUAAAGUCUGUUGUUUGGGUCGCACCUGCAUGUCCCAGCCAUGUGACUUUAACACGUUUCUUGAAUGUAAAAUGGUUUUUAACAGCACCUGCUUUCUAAGAUUUUGGUUCAGUCUGGUUGAACAAUAAUAUGAGGGCAGUCCUUAUCCCAAGGCUUUCACAUAACAAGACCCAAUAACUGUGAACUACCAUUCAUUACUUUGGCUGUUGAAAUGUUUCCACUGCCCAAGCCCAGCCCUGUGACAGGUGGAAGAGUGUAGCAUGAAUAAUAAAAACCCAGAGACAGAUAUUGGGGUUAAAGCUGAAGAUCAGAGAAGCCAAGUGGCCACUUGAAGAGUUCUUAUUUCUACUAAUGUUCAGCCUAAAAGGACGAUCCACUGAACCUCAGACUUGACUGCACAGCUUCUCAGACUCAC
This 1379-nucleotide long non-coding RNA is filed under the name Cricetulus griseus (Chinese hamster). RNAcentral's name for it is "lncRNA (ENSCGRG00000026616.1)". The record is from RNAcentral. Lineage: Eukaryota; Metazoa; Chordata; Mammalia; Rodentia; Cricetidae.